RNAcentral lists this ribosomal RNA (491 nucleotides) under uncultured bacterium. RNAcentral's name for it is "partial 16S ribosomal RNA". It matches the Rfam family "Bacterial small subunit ribosomal RNA", at positions 30 to 507 of the family's 1533-position model. The record is from RNAcentral.
AUUGAACGCUGGCGGCAUGCUUUACACAUGCAAGUCGAACGGUAACAGGCCUUCGGGUGCUGACGAGUGGCGAACGGGUGAGUAAUGCAUCGGAACGUACCCAGAGGUGGGGGAUAACGCAGCGAAAGCUGUGCUAAUACCGCAUGUGAUCUGAGGAUGAAAGCGGGGGACCGAGCAGCAAUGUUUGGCCUCGCGCCUUUGGAGCGGCCGAUGUCGGAUUAGCUAGUUCGUGGGGUAAAGGCCUACCAAGGCGACGAUCCGUAGCUGGUCUGAGAGGACGACCAGCCGCACUGAGAAGGAGACACGGCCCAAAAUCCACCGGGGGCAAGCAGUGGGAAUUUUGGACAAUGAACGCAAGCCUGAUCCAGCAAUGCCGCGUGCGGGAAGAAGGCCUUCUGGUUGUAAACCGCUUUUGGCAGGAACGAAACGUUGUCCGCUAAUACCGGACGAUAAUGACGGUACCUGCAGAAUAAGCAACGGCUAACUACGUG